GCGGGUAUCGCCAAGUGGUAAGGCAUUAGCUUCCCAAGCUAAUAUUCACGGGUUCGAAUCCCGUUACCCGCUCCA
Molecule: transfer RNA, 75 nt
Filed under: Chloroflexota bacterium
Lineage: Bacteria; Bacillati; Chloroflexota
Description: Chloroflexi bacterium tRNA-Gly
Rfam family: tRNA
About the family: Transfer RNA (tRNA) molecules are approximately 80 nucleotides in length.
Source: RNAcentral